Molecule: ribosomal RNA, 464 nt
Filed under: uncultured bacterium
Lineage: Bacteria
Description: partial 16S ribosomal RNA
Rfam family: Bacterial small subunit ribosomal RNA
Source: RNAcentral
GACGAAUGCUGGCGGCGUGCUUAACACAUGCAAGUCGAACGGAAAGGCCCUGCUUGCAGGGUACUCGAGUGGCGAACGGGUGAGUAACACGUGGGUGAUCUGCCCUGCACUUCGGGAUAAGCCUGGGAAACUGGGUCUAAUACCGGAUAGGAGCCAUUUUUAGUGUGAUGGUUGGAAAGUUUUUUCGGUGUAGGAUGAGCUCGCGGCCUAUCAGCUUGUUGGUGGGGUAAUGGCCUACCAAGGCGGCGACGGGUAGCCGGCCUGAGAGGGUGGACGGCCACAUUGGGACUGAGAUACGGCCCAGACUCCUACGGGAGGCAGCAGUGGGGAAUAUUGCACAAUGGGCACAAGCCUGAUGCAGCGACGCCGCGUGGGGGAUGACGGCCUUCGGGUUGUAAACUCCUUUCGCUAGGGACGAAGCUUUUGUGACGGUACCUAGAUAAGAAGCACCGGCUAACUACGUG